Non-coding RNA from Electrophorus electricus (electric eel), 273 nucleotides. The record is from RefSeq and is a predicted model, not a curated record. NCBI's taxonomy places the organism in Eukaryota, Metazoa, Chordata, Actinopteri, Gymnotiformes, Gymnotidae.
AAUGACGUCAGAGUCGAAGGACCGCAGACCGUUUUGGAUGGAGGGAUCUCCGUGUGUUGGGGUCGGAGAGAACAGAUGCUGUAGGACGCGGUUGGUGAUGCGGUUGGACGUAUGGACCGAUCGAUGGAUGGAUUGUCGCGUCAUAUUUGAGCCGUGUUUAAAUAAUCAGGCUUUUUCAUUUCAUUUCAUUUAGAAAGCAAAAAAAGGGAUGUAUCUAUACUGUACACACUAGAUGCACAAACCAGGCCUAUCAUUAAAUAAUUCGAACUAAAA